This 272-nucleotide ribosomal RNA is filed under the name uncultured bacterium. RNAcentral describes it as "partial 16S ribosomal RNA". It matches the Rfam family "Bacterial small subunit ribosomal RNA", at positions 85 to 354 of the family's 1533-position model. The record is from RNAcentral.
CCGCCGGCGACCGGCGCACGGGUGAGUAACACGUAUGCAACCUGGCCGUGACAGAUGGAUAACCGGGAGAAAUCCCGCCUAAUACAACAUAAUGCCGGGAGGGGACAUCCCCUGCCGGCCAAAGGGGCGACCCCGGUCACGGAUGGGCAUGCGGCGCAUUAGGUAGUUGGUGGGGCAACGGCCCACCAAGCCGACGAUGCGUAGGGGUUCUGAGAGGAAGGUCCCCCACAUUGGAACUGAGACACGGUCCAAACUCCUACGGAAGGCAGCAG